Molecule: non-coding RNA, 209 nt
Organism: Lepisosteus oculatus (spotted gar)
Lineage: Eukaryota; Metazoa; Chordata; Actinopteri; Semionotiformes; Lepisosteidae
Source: RefSeq, a predicted model, not a curated record
UCUCGUCUCCUAGGCGUGGAGGAGCCCUGCUGAGGAAGACUAGGACUUUUGUGGGUGAACAAGACUGGGAUGUUCCCUGUUGAGGGAGUGAAGACGUCGGGGGAGAAGCAGGAAGUCCAGGGAUUGGACGAGCGCUUGAGUUUUGUGGAUGCUGUCCAUUCCGUCUGCUCCUUUUCUUUAUUUUUGUAAUUAAACGUUUGGAAACGGUC